This 1577-nucleotide long non-coding RNA is filed under the name Equus caballus (horse). RNAcentral's name for it is "lncRNA (ENSECAG00000045752.1)". Lineage: Eukaryota; Metazoa; Chordata; Mammalia; Perissodactyla; Equidae. The record is from RNAcentral.
CUGGGAUCCCAGGAGAAGGGGCUGCCCGGAAAGGAGCUGGAAUCUCUGAGGAGGUGGACCUCAUCUGAUCAGUUGAAGUCUUGAAUAGAAUAAAAAGACUGACCCUCCCUUGAGUAAGAGGGAAUCUCGCCUGCCUGCCUUCAAACUGGGACAUUGGUUUUUUUCCUGCCUUUAGACUCAAACUGAUCAUUGGCUCUUUGUGGGAUUCACGCCUGGCAGCCUUUGGACUGGAAAUACACCAUCAGCUCUCCGGGUCUCCAGCUUGCCAGCCCACCCUGCAGAUCGUGGGACUUGUUGGCCUCCACAAUCAUGUGAACUAAUUCCUUAUAAUAAGUCUCUUUCUGUAUAUAUAUAUAUUUUUUAUUGGUUCUCUUUCUCUGGGGGAUCUUGAUUAAUUCGGAAGGUGAAAGGUGCAUCUGUUGGGUCUACUGCUUUCUCUGGCCAGCACACUGUGGUAGGCAGAAUUCUCAAAACAGCCCCCGAGGUCCACACCCUAAUCCUGAGAACCUGUGAAUGGGCUGAGAUCCCACUCCUGUGAUGCUCUGGUGCUAUGUGGCUCACUGGAUCUUAAAAUAGAGAGAUUGUCCAGGUGGCCCUAAUCUUAUCACAUAAACCCGGCUAAAGGCAGAGAGUUUUCUCUGGUUGGAAGUGUAGUGGAAGUCAGAGGAUUAGCGUGAGAGGGAGUCUAGAUGAGGGGUCUUGCCACAGGCUGUGAUGCUGUGAUGGGGCCUGGAAGGAAGCCUCUGGAAGGAACUGUGGAUGGCCCAUAGAAGUUGAGAGUGACUCCUGGCCAACAGUCAGGAGACAAAGACCUCAGUCCUACAACUGCAAGGGACUGAAUUCUGCCAAACCUGAGUGAGCUUGGAAGCAGAUUUUCCACACAGCCUGCAGAGGAGCACCCAGCCUGCUGACAUCUUGACUUCUGCCUGGAGAGACCCUAAGCGGAGAACCCAGGAGGACCCACCUGGACUUUGGACCUAUAGGAUUGGGAUAAUAAGUGGGUAUUGUUUUAAGAGCCAGUGGUAAUUUGUUACACAGAGUAGAAAACUGAUGCACAUAGACAAAGAGAUGUGGCUUCCUAUGGCAGCACUAGCAGAGAUUUAGGGGUGAGUCAUUGGUGUCAAGAGGCAGGCUGUAGGACGUCUGUUUCAGCUGGCAUAGACCUAGCAGGUAUAGUGACUCUGGAGCCAACAGUGCCAGUGGUGGCCUUCCUGUUUCCAGCUUUCCCAUUGUGGCAGAGGUUGGGGUUACUCUGGUAGGACAAUUCUACUGUGUUGUCCUUGGAUUCCAGGAGUGCCGUCUAGACUGUACUUAUCCAGCCCUUCUAAUGGUUUUGAGCACCCAAUUCCUCAUAUUAAAUCACUGCUUAAAUAUAAGAUACUCUGUUAUAUGCUACUGAACCUUGACUGUUAUAUCUUCAGAUCUCACCUACUUGUUAAAUACAAUCACAUCUGUCAGCUUAUUCAAAUCUCGGAAGCACUGACCACUCCUUACUUCCUGAAAAUCACUCUUCUUUUGUUUUUGAUGACAUCUCAUUCUCCUGGUUUCUCUUAUACAUUUCUUCUACUAAUUUUUAC